This 67-nucleotide ribosomal RNA is filed under the name Pantoea agglomerans. RNAcentral also lists the same sequence under 10 other names. Lineage: Bacteria; Pseudomonadati; Pseudomonadota; Gammaproteobacteria; Enterobacterales; Erwiniaceae. The record is from RNAcentral.
CCUGGCGGCUUUAGCGCGGUGGUCCCACCUGACCCCAUGCCGAACUCAGAAGUGAAACGCCGUAGCG